Molecule: ribosomal RNA, 502 nt
Filed under: uncultured bacterium
Lineage: Bacteria
Description: partial 16S ribosomal RNA
Rfam family: Bacterial small subunit ribosomal RNA
Source: RNAcentral
GACGAACGCUGGCGGCGUGCUUAACACAUGCAAGUGGAGCGACGACCCUUCGGGGGGCAAAGCCGCGAACGGGUGAGUAACACGUGGGUAACCUGCCCCGAUGACUGGGACAACCCGGGGAAACCCGGGCUAAUACCGGAUGAUGUGCACACACUUAAGUGUGUCCACUAAAGGUAGCUUCGGCUUCCGCAUUGGGAGGGGCCCGCGGCCCAUUAGCUUGUUGGUGAGGUAACGGCUCACCAAGGCAACGAUGGGUAGCUGGUCUGAGAGGACGAUCAGCCACACUGGGACUGAGACACGGCCCAGACUCCUACGGGAGGCAGCAGUGGGGAAUCUUGCGCAAUGCGCGAAAGCGUGACGCAGCAACGCCGCGUGAGGGAAGACGGCCUUCGGGUUGUAAACCUCUUUCAGUAGGGACGAAGGCCGGCCGGUGAAUAGCCGUGUCGGUUGACGGUACCUUCAGAAGAAGCUCCGGCUAACUACGUGCCAGCAGCCGCCGUAA